Molecule: transfer RNA, 67 nt
Filed under: Marmota monax (woodchuck)
Lineage: Eukaryota; Metazoa; Chordata; Mammalia; Rodentia; Sciuridae
Description: tRNA.Ala
Source: RNAcentral
GGUUGUGGCUCAGUGGCAGAGUGCUUGCCUAGCAUGCGUGAGGCACUGGGUUCAAUCCUCAGUACCA